ACAAAAUAGCGUCAGAUGCACGCACAAAAGGCACAUAUCAUAACAUUGCACACUCAUAAUGGAUUAGUUUCCUUUUUUUAUUAAGCUAUAGUUUCAAUUUCACUACACUUGAUCAUUGUUGCAAAAGCACUCAUAAAAGAUAAAAGAAAUAACUGAUUAUCAAAAUCAUUUGCAUCCCCCCGGGGGACAAUGAUAGAUAUAGUCUUCGAGAGCUUUCUUUAGCUUCGCAAUCAAACACUCUUCCCUUGUAAUCCCUGAGCAAUCAACAAUGUCUGGUGAUGCUGUAGGAUUACUGAAAAAUGACGCAUCUGCAGUAGAUCCUUGGCCAAUAUGAUUGGCUAAAAUAAGUUUACUUUCAGUGUUUGCCACUACGAGCAAAGCCAAGAUGAUGAAACUAAGGCUCUUCGACAUAUUUCUAUUUCUUAGGUGAAUUAUCAAUAACUUAAUUAGAAGUAUAAGAGAUCUACAUCAAUCAGGGCAGCA
Molecule: long non-coding RNA, 483 nt
Filed under: Citrus maxima (pomelo)
Lineage: Eukaryota; Viridiplantae; Streptophyta; Magnoliopsida; Sapindales; Rutaceae
Description: long non-coding RNA (CMAX_LNC003066)
Source: RNAcentral